GUGAAUCAUCGAAUUUUUGAACGCAAAUUGCACUUUCUGGUAUCCCGGAAAGUAUGCCUGUUUGAGGGUCAGUUAAAUAAAAAUCGGUGUUGUUGUUGCAUUUCGUGGUGACGCGUAGGAAUUGAGUUGUUUUCUUUUUGGGUAAGUGACUUAAAAUUUUGCAUGAUUUUCGAAUGUAUUUAAAUUUAUAAAGUUCGUUUGAGAUAUUGUAUACUUUAUUAGGUUCGGUCAUUCGCGUGAUUCGCAUCUAUAAUUUUUGAUUAAAUGAC
This 269-nucleotide unclassified non-coding RNA is filed under the name Glomus sp. RNAcentral describes it as "partial contains 5.8S ribosomal RNA and internal transcribed spacer 2". The stretch from base 1 to 71 matches the Rfam family "5.8S ribosomal RNA", at positions 84 to 154 of the family's 154-position model. The record is from RNAcentral. Lineage: Eukaryota; Fungi; Glomeromycota; Glomeromycetes; Glomerales; Glomeraceae.